UACGUAGGUGGCAAGCGUUAUCCGGAAUUACUGGGCGUAAAGCGCACGCAGGCGGUCUUUUAAGUUUGACGUGAAAGCUCCCGGCUUAACUGGGAGAGGUCGUUGAAGACUGGAAGACUUGAGGCAAUGAGAGGGGUGUAGAAUUCCCGGUGUAGUGGUGGAAUGCGUAGAUAUCGGGGGGAAUACCAGUGGCGAAGGCGGCAUCCUGGACCGACAUUGACGCUGAUGAGCGAAAGCUAGGGGAGCAAACGGG
RNAcentral lists this ribosomal RNA (253 nucleotides) under uncultured bacterium. Its description in RNAcentral is "partial 16S ribosomal RNA". It matches the Rfam family "Bacterial small subunit ribosomal RNA", at positions 524 to 776 of the family's 1533-position model. The record is from RNAcentral.